AAUCUGAAAUCUAGUUUGAUAUUUGAAAUUUAUUCUGUUCUCAUUGAGAAGUCGUUUUGGCGACAUGGAAUGGGAACUGAGUAAAGAGAAUGUUUUACCACGGAAAAAUGGUCGAACAGUUUCACAGCUCGUCUCAGCUUUACAACCCAAAGGAGAUCAUGCUAGCCAGACUCGUGCUACGAAGCAGCAAUUUGAAGAAGAAUUAAGAACAUACCAGGGUAAUGACCCCUUAGAUAUUUGGUUCAGGUAUAUCACAUGGAUGGAAGAAACCAACCCACAGGGUGGGAAGGAUCUUCCCUCUCUGCUCAGAAGCUGUUUGUUAACAUUUUCUGAACUGGACAAGUACAAGAAUGAUCCAAGAUAUGUUGAAAUCUGGGUGAAAUUUGCCAAUCUAUAUGACAAUCCAAUAUUGUUGUAUGAACAUAUGUUUGGUAAAGGAAUUGGUUCUCAGAAUGCAAUGUUUUAUGAAUCCUGGGCCAGUGCGUAUGAACUCCUAGGAAAUAGCAGAAAAGCGGAUGCCAUCUACAGUGAAGGUAUAAGACUGAAAGCGGAGCCCUUCAAUUACUUACAAAGACAACACUAUGAAUUUCAAAGUCGCAUAAUUCUUGGCCAGAUGAAAAAUGCUUCCCUGGCUGAUAAAGACUCUGUGGAUGCUAUUGAGGCUGAAGGCAGAGCCGCUUUUAUGAGUUUGAAGAGCAAUGGGAAGAAAACUUCAGCAAUUAGGCCCCAUGGCCCCCAACCUACUAAAACUGAUGUCAGAGUUCCUGCUCCUGGAGAACGUUGCCAGCAGCUACAACCCAACUUUGAAAUACAUACUGAUGAAAACAAUCCUCCAAGUGACAGCUUACCCCAGUGCAAUGAAUAUGAAAGCAUCCCUUUUAAGACCAAAGUCAAUCGGGAGAAUUGUAGAAAUCCAGGACCUUGGCCACAAAAUAAGAUGACGCCAAAAAAAUCAUUUUCAGUAAUCAAGACAGCCCCAUUUGUUGUGCAGAAUGAUGGCACCGGAUGUUUAGCGACCCCAAAACAUGUACCUGAAAUAGAUAGUAAAGCAUUAAGUGUUCAGAAAACCAAAAAAGAGCCUGUUACACCGAUGGAUGUAAUUAAUGCAGCAGCCAAUGGAAUUAAACAGAUACCUAUGUACUGUAAAGAGAAGGUGUACGCUGGAGUUGAGGAGUUUUCCUUUGAAGAAAUUCGAGCUCUGCGCUGGAAACGGAGGCAUGAAGAACAAAUGUAUCAUUCUCUUGUUGAAAAGAAUAAAAAAUUGAAAGAGGAGCAGCAGCAGAUAUUGUUAAAAAAUGAAGAACUGUUGAUUCAACACCAGGUUUUGCAGAAAUCAUUGGAUGAAAAUGUGGAAAUGAAACCAGUGGAACCACAAGAACGCAGUUUGAAGAAUGCAAGCUCACGUGACUUGACACUGAACGGCAGCCUAAAUCGAUCUGGGCAGCAUACGACCAGCAUUUCGAAAACUCCAGAACCUUUGCAAAAUACUAGUCAGACAGGAUUUAAUUCCAGUUUCCAAAAUAAAGAAGGCCAAAAGUCGACAUAUGCACCAUCUACAACACUGAAUACUAUGGAAGCAAUGGAAGUUGUGAGAGGAUUUUAUUGUGAUUCCAUCAAUCUUGGCAAAGAUACUACAAUUGACAGAGACCAGGAUGCUGAUUAUGCAGGAGAGUCUGAACCAGUAUACCAGGAGCCAGUGCUUAAAGCAGCCCCUUUUGUUAUUUGUGAGGAUGAACAGGAACCUGACCCUCCAGCAGCUGUGAAAAAUGUUAACAAUGUUUUUAUAAGCCCAUCAUCAAAUUCAAACUUCAAAGAUGGAAUCAGCAUAGGAAGAUUAGAUAAAGAAAAAAACGCUGAAAAGGAUGUAAAAUUUCAUUUAACAAUGCCAGACAUGGAUGAAAUUACUCUAGGUUUUGCUAACGAAAGGUCUUCAACCUUCCAAAAACCUGUGAACCCAGCACCUCCACCGAACACUGAGCCAACAUUUCAGAUUUAUGAAGAUGAUCCACUGACCUGUCCUAUAAAUCAAGUGCUUUGUAAAAACUUGGUGUCUACACCGUUUCAUCCAUCAACAAACGUCUUCUCUCUGCCUGAUAUGUCCAACAUCAGUUGUAUCACUACAGAAAAUAUAAUUAUGAUGGAGAAACCGACUGAAAACACAAACAGAACUGCUGCAAUGAGCCCAAUUAAAGAAAGAAGCAAUGAAGGAACACAUUCUAGUCUGGAGAACCGUACAGCUGAUCCGAGUCAUCAUACCAACAGCCACUUCAGUCAAGUAUCUUCCAAGCAGCUUCUUAUUGCUGAUCCAUUCUGCAAAGAGCACCAGAAGAAAGUUCUUGCCAACCUUUCUGAACCAUUAGAGGAUCACGAGUCAUACCAUUGCUUAAAUGAAGACCUGCCAAUUUUGCGAACAAAUGUUCAAGUUUCAAUUGGAUAUUGGAGAGGAUUUAUAGAAAAACAGGUGGCCAAAGGUGGAAAUGGACAGAUAUACAAGCUGUGUACGGAGUGCACCAUGGCUAUUGACAGUGGAAUGUUUGAUGUGGCACUUAAGGUAAUGAAAUUUAGCAAUUUUUGGGAGUUCUACAUUUGCAAUGAAAUUCAGGAACGGCUGAAGAAAUUCCCAAAGGCUUCAAAAAUGUCUUCCUGUUAUCCAGUCAUCAAAGAUGCCUACUAUACAACAACGGCAGCAUUUUAAUAACUCCCUUUUACAAGUAUGGGACAUUGUUGGAUUUUGUAAACAAGAUACAAGCAGAAUUGAGCAACAGCAGUACUUGUGAGGCAUUGGCUGUUUACUUUCUCAUUGAAUUGUUAACUAUUGUUGAUCAUCUACACAAGUGUAAAAUAAUACAUGGAGACAUCAAACCAGACAACAUUGUCAUCAAACUCGGGAAGAAAAUAUCAUCUGAUCUGAAGGUUCCGAUGCUAUUGACAUUAAUUGACUUUGGUGAAGCAAUUGACAUGACUACUUACCCAGACGGAACUCUGUUUCAGGGCAAAGUUUUGACUUCUGGCUUUCAAUGUAUUGAAAUGAAAACUGACAGACCUUGGUCUUAUCAGACUGAUCUGUUUGGCAUUCUUGGAACGAUACACACUGUUCUCUUUGGCAAAUACAUGAAUGUUUUCUAUUCUCAAGGAAAAUGGCUGCUCACCUCCAACUUUCAGCGGAAAUGGAAUAUUCCAUUAUGGAAACAGCUUUUCCAUGACUUGCUCAAUAUUCCAUCAGCAGACCAAUUACCAAAUCUGAUUGAAAUUCGCAAUCAGUUUAUUGAAUAUUUUAAUUCUUCUCUAGUGGACUAUUUUACAAUGGUCAUGUACAAGGAUGUGCAAUAAGCUGGUGUAGACAAUGGCCCUCUGGACAGUCUUUUAAUACUUAAACCAUUGUGUAUUUUGUGUGUGUGUGUGUGUGUAAGUGAGUGUGUCUGUCUGUGUACUGUGAAAGUAAACUGUGUGUGUGUGUGAAAUGUUUUUUUAAAGCAAUGCAGAAAUGAGAUAUGUUUUAAUAAAUCUGAAUCCAAGUCCAUCUGUAAUUUCUACUGUGUACUUUUAUUUUUUUUAAUUUUUAAAUAUACAUUCACAAAUACAUAUUGAUCAAAAUACCAAACUUCCUAUGUGCCAUAGAAAUAUUUGGAAUCUUCUACUCCAAUAAAAAAUUUAAAUCUAUUUCUCCAGUGUUGUAUGCCACAUUAUAUUUUCUGUUAAUUGUGUAUUGAUAUUGGGGUGGAAUAAGAGAUGAGUUGGUUGAAGCUGCAGAACAAAUUGCUUUUUGUUCUGAGUUCCAAUUUCAUGGGUGUU
RNAcentral lists this unclassified non-coding RNA (3792 nucleotides) under Octopus sinensis (East Asian common octopus). RNAcentral describes it as "uncharacterized LOC115216795, transcript variant X1". Lineage: Eukaryota; Metazoa; Mollusca; Cephalopoda; Octopoda; Octopodidae. The record is from RNAcentral.